AAAUUGAAGAGUUUGAUCAUGGCUCAGAUUGAACGCUGGCGGCAGGCCUAACACAUGCAAGUCGAACGGUAACAGGAAGCAGCUUGCUGCUUCGCUGACGAGUGGCGGACGGGUGAGUAAUGUCUGGGAAACUGCCUGAUGGAGGGGGAUAACUACUGGAAACGGUAGCUAAUACCGCAUAACGUCGCAAGACCAAAGAGGGGGACCUUCGGGCCUCUUGCCAUCGGAUGUGCCCAGAUGGGAUUAGCUAGUAGGUGGGGUAACGGCUCACCUAGGCGACGAUCCCUAGCUGGUCUGAGAGGAUGACCAGCCACACUGGAACUGAGACACGGUCCAGACUCCUACGGGAGGCAGCAGUGGGGAAUAUUGCACAAUGGGCGCAAGCCUGAUGCAGCCAUGCCGCGUGUAUGAAGAAGGCCUUCGGGUUGUAAAGUACUUUCAGCGGGGAGGAAGGCGAUAAGGUUAAUAACCUUGUCGAUUGACGUUACCCGCAGAAGAAGCACCGGCUAACUCCGUGCCAGCAGCCGCGGUAAUACGGAGGGUGCAAGCGUUAAUCGGAAUUACUGGGCGUAAAGCGCACGCAGGCGGUCUGUC
This 594-nucleotide ribosomal RNA is filed under the name Enterobacter hormaechei subsp. xiangfangensis. Its description in RNAcentral is "bacterial SSU rRNA". It matches the Rfam family "Bacterial small subunit ribosomal RNA", at positions 1 to 584 of the family's 1533-position model. The record is from RNAcentral. Lineage: Bacteria; Pseudomonadati; Pseudomonadota; Gammaproteobacteria; Enterobacterales; Enterobacteriaceae.